GGUAGCCAUGUCUGGCAGAGAUAACCGCUGAAAGCAUCUAAGUGGGAAACUCGCCCUAAGAUUAGAUCCCUGUAUUCCCAUAAGGGAGUAAGACCCCAGGUAGACUACCUGGUAUAUAGGCAGUGUGUGUAAGCGCAGUAAUGUGUUGAGCUAAACUGUACUAAUGGUCGAGGGCUUCCUCCU
This 183-nucleotide non-coding RNA is filed under the name Chloroflexi bacterium RBG_16_56_8. RNAcentral's name for it is "partial 23S ribosomal RNA". It matches the Rfam family "Bacterial large subunit ribosomal RNA", at positions 2744 to 2925 of the family's 2925-position model. The record is from RNAcentral. Lineage: Bacteria; Bacillati; Chloroflexota.